Molecule: long non-coding RNA, 840 nt
Organism: Talpa occidentalis (Iberian mole)
Lineage: Eukaryota; Metazoa; Chordata; Mammalia; Eulipotyphla; Talpidae
Exons: 4
Source: RefSeq, a predicted model, not a curated record
AAGGUGCUGGGGUGUGGAAGCAGCCUCCGGCCCAGCUGCUAGCUCCGGCCGCCCCGCCCCUCCUUCCAGGUCUCCCGGGCUCCAGCAACCUGCAGACUGGUGCGUUAGUCUGCAAAUCAGAGCGGAUCGGUGACUUUGGGGUCGCGGUCCCCAACCUAGAAGCGCAGCCCACAGCGAGGGAGCAGGCUGUGCCCCUGGAUAUGUUGCUGGAGGACUAAACAGAAGAGCUCAGGGUCGUGCCCAGCUGGCGGCCGACCCAGGGAAAGGCAAAGGCGUACAAGCUAGACCACGCAGCUGGAGGAAGUAGAGCAGAGAGAAGGAAACCAGGAGAUUUGGACCCGGGUAUGGAGGGCGGGGAACACUCCAGAACUGAGGAUCAGGAGCUUGGGCGUGCAACUGGUUCCCAGAGCACCAACUUGGCCAUUGCGGAUAAAGAAGACAUCGAGUUCAUUCAGACUGUAUUGUCAGAAAAGGAGCCAAGGUUUGAGGGGUGGAAACCUUGUCAUUUUCACCUUUAAAUCAUCUCCUGGCGUCACCUCUGCCUGACGAGACCUUUGAAGUGAUGUGCAGUUUCCUGAUGGGAAUCGGUUUAUAGUUAAUGAUGGACCAUCCACACGCCAGUGCAUUCGGGGCAGAGUAAGGCAGCAAAAUGUAGGAGCAGGACUGCUAUACGGUGCUUGAGCUGGACUGUUGAAAUCACAUAUGAUCCACUCAAUGCAACCCGACAAAGACUGUUGACACAAUCUUGUGGAUAUCAGAAAGCUAAAGAAAGUCAAAAAAUGGCAUACUUCUCAUCUUGCCUGGAAACAUUACUGAGUCAAAGAAAUGGAGGUGAAGAGA